This 429-nucleotide ribosomal RNA is filed under the name Gemmatimonadota bacterium. RNAcentral's name for it is "Gemmatimonadetes bacterium partial 16S ribosomal RNA". It matches the Rfam family "Bacterial small subunit ribosomal RNA", at positions 355 to 776 of the family's 1533-position model. The record is from RNAcentral. Lineage: Bacteria; Pseudomonadati; Gemmatimonadota.
UAGGGAAUCUUCGGCAAUGGACGAAAGUCUGACCGAGCAACGCCGCGUGAGUGAAGAAGGUUUUCGGAUCGUAAAACUCUGUUGUUAGAGAAGAACAAGGACGUUAGUAACUGAACGUCCCCUGACGGUAUCUAACCAGAAAGCCACGGCUAACUACGUGCCAGCAGCCGCGGUAAUACGUAGGUGGCAAGCGUUGUCCGGAUUUGUUGGGCGUAAAGCGAGCGCAGGCGGUUUCUUAAGUCUGAUGUGAAAGCCCCCGGCUCAACCGGGAAGGGUCAUUGGAAACUGGGUGAAUUGAGUGCAGAAGAGGAGAGUGGAAUUGCAUGUGUAGCGGUGAAAUGCGUAGAUAUAUGGAGGAACACCAGUGGCGAAGGCGGCUCUCUGGUCUGUAACUGACGCUGAGGCUCGAAAGCGUGGGGAGCAAACAGG